AAAUGAAUAGACGGGGGCUCACACAAGCGGUGGAGCAUGUGGAUCAAUUCGAAGCAACGCGAAGAACCUUACCUGGGUUUGACAUUCACGGAUGCCGUCCUGGAAACAGGAGCCGGUUGCCUUCGGGUGAAACGUGGACAGGUGCUGCAUGGCUGUCGUCAGCUCGUGCUGUGAAGUGUCGGGUUAAGUCCCUUAACGAGCGAAACCCUUGUCGCUAGUUGCCAGCGGGUCAUGCCGGGAACUCUAGCGAGACUGCCGGCGUUAAGCCGGAGGAAGGUGGGGAUGACGUCAAGUCAUCAUGGCCUUUAUGCCCAGGGUGUCACACGUGCUACAAUGGGGCGUACAGAGCGACGCGAGACCGUAAGGUGGAGCAAAUCGCAGAAAACGUCCCUCAGUUCGGAUUGAGGUCUGCAACCCGACCUCAUGAAGCCGGAAUCGCUAGUAAUCGCGCAUCAGCCAUGGCGCGGUGAAUGAGUUCCUGAGCCUUGUACACACCGCCCGU
RNAcentral lists this ribosomal RNA (502 nucleotides) under uncultured bacterium. Its description in RNAcentral is "bacterial SSU rRNA". It matches the Rfam family "Bacterial small subunit ribosomal RNA", at positions 903 to 1397 of the family's 1533-position model. The record is from RNAcentral.